AGGGCCAACACUUGGAUUGUGAUCAAAUGUGCACCCAUGGGGCUUGUAUUGACACUUUCCUUUGAUAGGAACUUACUCUGCAAGAGUUUGAUGUCCUUUUUUUUGCUUCUCUUUUCUUCUCAGUUUUCAUGACAUUGAGCACUUGGGUAUCCUCACUUUGCCUACCCAAAUGGAAAGGAUACAUACACAUAAGGUGGAUAAUCGCAGAAGUAGUGUUUCUCAACUCACUCAAAAGCAAAAGCAUAUUACAUGUUGUAGACUGGUUUGGUGGGUUUAGUGUUCUCUUUGUUGAUUGUGUGUCAGUCUUUCAUUGUGACUAUUUUAGAGUCGUUUGGAGCCUAUAUUGGAGUUGUACAUAAUGUGUAUCAGAAGAGGGAAAAUGGAACUUGAGCUUUUGAGAUUGUGUGUGCAAGCACACAAAUUAUAGCCAAGAAAAACUGGGCUGCAACAAUAUGUUCAUUAAAUGAUGUUUUGAAUCUCUUCUUAAGAUGAUGAACA
RNAcentral lists this long non-coding RNA (498 nucleotides) under Physcomitrium patens. Its description in RNAcentral is "long non-coding RNA (PPAT_LNC012399)". Lineage: Eukaryota; Viridiplantae; Streptophyta; Bryopsida; Funariales; Funariaceae. The record is from RNAcentral.